Mustela lutreola (European mink) is the source of this 6010-nucleotide long non-coding RNA. RefSeq lists it as uncharacterized. The transcript has 8 exons. The record is from RefSeq and is a predicted model, not a curated record. Lineage: Eukaryota; Metazoa; Chordata; Mammalia; Carnivora; Mustelidae.
UGGUUACAAAGUGUAUGGAGGUGACCACCAUAGAGGGAAGUGGACGCCCAGAGAAGGACUUUUGUUUUGAUUGUUCUAGCAAGACCACAGAAGUGGAUGAUUUCUGUAAGCAUAUUCGCAGCUUGGGGGGUGGUAGGAAUAAAGGCCGGCAGGCCGCAAACUCCUGUCAGAACCAGCCUCUCUGCUCCUUUGUACCUCCCCAGUACAGGGUAAGAGGUUCGAUUUACUUUUUCCUUGGAAGAAUGUCUGGAACCAACCAGUGCAUGCUCUAGGCUUUAGAAAAUAAAAUUUCUUUCCAGAAUUUUCCAUCUGCUUUACAGGGGACAAGUGGACACUCCUGUAAGAGGCUAAGCUCAGUAAGGGGCACUCCCGUUCCAUCAUUCUGCUGUCAGAGAGGUCUUGGGACAGAUGUAGAUGAGACGAGAAUCAGGGACAUUUUAUGAUCCCUGUCUUGCUGGACAGCUGGGGAGUCUUCCAGGGAUGAAGAAGGUGUCUGGUUUACAAUCUGCUUCAUUUCCAGCUUCUUUCCGCAGCUUUAGAUGAGGACCUGGAGGUAAUGGGUCAUCAUUGUGGGUAAACUCAUCGUGUAUAGUGGUGCCAAUGAUGUCAGAGGUCCUCCAGCCUAAACUCCUGUCCCUGGCACAAAGUCAACUAGCCUCUUGUUGAAUAUCCAAACAGGCUGUGUACCCCCAACCUUGCAGUAGAACAUUCUGUUGUGGGGAAACCAUGAGCUAAAAUUGAGCUCCUUGUAACAUCUGUACAAUCCUGUCUCACCCGGGGGGACACAUCGCAGACCUGGUACAUCUUCAUUGUGUCCACCCUACAAACAUUGCAAACAUUUCUGCUGUCUCCUUAAUUUUUACCCUUCGAAGCAUAAAACCCCCAGUUUCUUCAGUCCCUGUAUGAGAUUUUCUCUAACCCCCUCUCUGCCCUAGCCCCCUUCCUCAUAUUCUUUUCCACUUGCCAAUAUCCUUUUUUAAAGCAAGUGCCCUGGUUCUUGGGCAGAGCCCAGUGGACAUCCGGACACUACGAUAUUAUCAGUCGCUCCUCCCAACACUGUGCCUCCCAACACUGUGCCUUUGUGGUUUUCUUGAACCAGGGGCUCUUGAACCCUGAAGCCAGAUAAAUGUUUUAGAAAAAUCUUCUUCUGCAUUUGCAAAAGCAAAGUCUAGGUCAAAGAAGAGAGACACACGUAAAACAAUUGGAGGACACCAGUCCCUGAGCUCCAGGGCAGUGUGCUGUAGACGCUGGCCGUGAAGGGACUUGGGCUGGAGAUCUUUCUUCUUGCAUUUGCCCAUUGCAGUGGCUCACUCAACAGGGCUCUGCCUGCCACUUCUUCCUUCUCUGCACCCCUAACUUUCUCAGCUGUCCUAAUGCCCAGCUUCAGCCUACAUGAGGCUUGUGUGGUCCUGCUUCUCUCGUGGCCUUUCAGUUCCCACCCCAUCACCCAUGGGCAGUGGCUUACUUCACUGUCAUCUUGAUCCACGCUGAGAGAUUUAAGUUAGCACAGGUCCUAUUUUCAAAGUCCUAGGUCAUUGGGAAGCCUCAGCAUUGACUGUCUUGGUCCGGGUUCCUCCCUCCAGUGUGGCUGGGGUGUGAAGGAGGGAGCCGUGCCGGUUGACGUGGCCGGCAAGCUGCUGGCUGGCAAGAGACAGACAGACACACACUCAGGCAGGCAGGCAAACACACACACAGAACAAAGAAUCUUAUACACCCUACAAAAUUUGCCAGAUUUUCUACUUUCUGCGGCAUUGUACCUUUCCAGAUCAUUCUAGAAAUAGUGCGUUUUAAUGUGGCUAGUUUGUAGCACUCAAACCAAAGGGAAGAAAUGGGAAAAAAGGAUGUUUAGCAUUUAUUUUACUGUGUAGAGUAGCUGGGAGGUAGGAAGAUGCAAGAGAGAGAGAAAGGGAGCGAGAGAAAGAGAGGCAGAGAGGCGGGUGGGAGGGUGUACGCUGGAUCACAACUCGAUUUACACUCGUCUCUGCACCGGGAAGGAGGACUUCAUGCUGUCAAGGAGCGACUCCUUUAAGCAAACUGGCCGUUUGCAGUGUCUCUACUCCUGCUAGCUCACAGCGUCUUUUACUUCGUCUGGUUUGGUCAGUGCUAGCGGUCGUUCACAGCAACGGUCUACACAGCGUUGGGCCCCACACGUGGGCCUGGGGGGCAGGCCCUUUACUGAAGUUUCUGAAAUGCGUCCCGAGGACCAGGUGGCACCUGUAAGUCCCACGGAAUGACACUCCCCACCAGAGCCCUCCGUUCCUGGUUCUAAAAGCCGUUGCUGUGCCUUUCCUCACAGGGACACCACCGAGGACACCACCAAGGACAUAAAUGAGCAGAAUGACAAGGAGGCCAAGACCCCGAGCCCCGGCUUCUCCAAGACCUCUUGCUCCAUUCAAACCUUCCGUCGCGACGUUAGAAGCUGCGCAGAUGCGCAAAGACCGCGUAGACAGACGCUGUGCCAGGUGCUUAAUCCGGAUGACCUUUUGUUUGCUGCGUUCUGCUCUGUGUUGCCUUUUUAACCCUUAAUGAGGUUGGCCCUUGCACUGGUUAAUUUUCUGUGUCAUUUCGAUUGGGCUAAGGGAUGCCCAGCUGUUUGGAAGAACCUGACUCUGGACGAGUCUGUGAGGGGGUCUCUGGAAGAGGUUAGCGUUGGGAUUAGUCGACUGAGUCGAGGGGGGCGCUCCGCAAAGGGUGCUGGCCCCUCCCAGCGCCCGGAGGCACAAUCUGCUGAAAAGACCAGAAAGGCAGGCAAGGGGCAGAUUCUCUCUCUCUCUGCCUGAGCCGAGAUGUCGUCUUCUCCUGCCCUCAGCCACUGGCACUCCUGGUUCUUGGGCUUUUAGACCAGACCACGACUUGCACCAUCAGCCUCCUCUCAGGCCUUGGACUAAAUUACACUCCUGGCUUUCCUGGGUCUCCAGCUUGCUGGUGGCGUCUUGGUCUCCAUAAUCGUGUGGUGAUUUCUGACCCCCUCAGCAUGGCUGCUGAACUGCAGGUGGAAUUCGCGUGGGAGCCUAACCUUCCUGUUCUCGGCCUGUGGAAAAGUGUGUCGCCAAGUUCCAGACAGCGCUGCGGACUUUGAGGACACCGCCUGCUGACAGAUCACAAGCAGGCAGAGAGGCAGGCAGAGAGAAGGGGAAGCAGGCUCCCCGCGGAGCAGAGAGCCUGAUGCAGGACUCGAUCCCAGGACCCUGAGAUGACCCAAGCCGAAGGCAGAGGCUUUAACCCCCUGAGCCACCCAGGCACCCCUGAUAAAGGCUGUCCCCAGAAUGGCUGAGGAAGUGGUCGCACCCUGCCAGCCGGGGAAGCAGAAACACAGCCCACCCCUAGGGCUCUCUUGAAAUGAUUGAGAUGAACCGUUGGACCAGGAUAUGACAAAAGGGUGAAGGAUAUAUGUGGAUGUAAGCAGAAGGACUCUGGCUUUCUGGUUUCUGCUUGUCGGACACUUGAACACUUUUCUUUGCGACCUUGGGAGAGUUUUCUCAUCUCACUGUGCCUGGCCUGAAGUGGGUAGUAAGAAGCCUGCAGAGAGGAAGGCCCAACUCAACUGUGCGAGUUCAUAGGAUUAAUUAACACAUUCCACCCGUGUCGAUGUAAAUGGGAAGAACUCGUCCUUUCUGACGGCUGAGAAAUGCUCUAUUGUGGGAUGGUCCAAGCAUUGCUGCAGAUGAACAGAGGCAAAUAAUUCUAGUAGAGUCCACGUUGCCAGUGCUCACUCUGUCUUCGUGUGAAUUCCCGUGCUGGCUCUCGUUUCUGCCGCAUGAACUAUGGAGAGUGAACUCGGUCCCUUUCUGCCUGGCUGCUGCCCCCUCGUGUGAAGACGGUUCUAAGGCCUUAGCUCGGCCUUUUCUGACUAAACAGGUGCAGAGCUUCCCGUGGCUGCCCCGGUGGUGGGUGGUCGCCCGCUGUGUUUCCGGAGCCCCUUCCGCAGCCACAGCAGCAAGGAGCGAGCUGGUUGGACAUUCCCUGACGGCACUGGGGCUCGAGUGCUGUGCCCGGGAGCCUGCUGACUGCCACCUGCCUUCUGGCGUGGCCUCCUUGCUCUGCUCUGGAAUGAGCCUCCACGUGUCCUAGCUUUCCUUCGAGCGUAUUCUCCAGCUCCAUCAGUUCCUGCCUCCUUCUCCCGUUCUGCCGCUGGCACCCUCCCCAGGCCUCCCCUAUUUGACCUAACUGGGCCUACCCAGCCCAUAACGUGGUGGGGUUAAAUCACUUUUAAGUUUUCAUUUGUUGUAAAUGCUUUGCUCUAGUUGUCCUGAACUCCUUGGCCUCUGAGCUAGACUUCCUCAUGGCCAGCAAGGAAGCAGAAUAAGUGCUGCAUAUCACACACACACACACGUGUACGCAGUGAUGUUUACUUAAACCAUGCCACCAUGCUCUUGUAUCACUUAGAAUUUUUAUUUAUACUUUUUCAAGGAACUCUUUUAGACUUUUUAGCAAUAGACUUUCAAUCCCGUGUCACUCUUAUAAUAAAUAAAAAUCAAUCCCAUCAUGUUUCAAAACCUUAUUCUUAAACUGCUCACAUUAUAUAUCAAUAAAAUGCUUCAAGAGUGAACCUCCUUGCUGGAGGUUCUAGACUUGCAGGUUUGAUCGAGGACUUCAUCAGCUCAGGCGUCCUCUUCUUGCUGUCCUCUGCCUGCAACAUCCCUGAGAGACAUUUUCAGGCAGAGGUUGAUUUGUUCAUAGCAAAUGAAGCUUAGGAUUCCCAGGCCCUCACUAGCAAGAUCGCCUUCCUUUUCCUGCAUAGACGACCACCUUAUAGAAUUUUAUCAUAUGCAAAUGUGAUCAAAGGAUAAGUAGCCACACAACUUAGGGAAACAUUGGAAAAAUUCAUGUCAGGCAUCUAAAUAAUAAAACCAUUACAUUACACUUUGGAUUGUCGUAUUUGUCAAUUUUUAAAAAUUUAUAACUUGUUAUGAUUUAUUUUCUUUUUUUUUCCCCAAAGAUUUUAUUUAUUUGUUUGACAGAGAGAGAUCACAAGUAGGCAGAGAGGCAGGCAGAGAGAGAGAGGCGGAAGCAGGCUCCCUGCUAAGCAGAGAGCCCGAUGCGGGACUUGAUCCCAGGACCCUGAGAUCAUGACCUGAGCCGAAGGCAGCGGCUUAACCCACUGAGCCACCCAGAUUCUUCAAUUAUUACAUCAGUUACGUCAACGGAUUCAUCAUUCCCCAACUCCCUGUAUUUAGGCAUAUUAUUGUCCUCAAGCGUCGAGAGUAAAUGAAAGACACGCUGUCCUGUUGCACCGUAAGGCUUCCAUACGCAUUCCCUGAAAACAAGCCCACUCUGCUGUGGAGCUCCUGUACGACACGAAAACCAGGGAAUUACACAAUGCUACCAUGCUGCCUGUUCCAGUUCUGCUGAUUGUCCCCUUUCUAAGGUCCAGGAGCCAUCAAGGGGGGGCACAGUGCAUUUCCCUGCCAUGUCUCUUGGUCUGCUGACCUAUACUGGUGUCUCAGACUCUCUUUCAUGAACUUGAAGUGUUAGAUGUGUUAGAUGUGUCCAGACAAGGUACUUCGGAGAACAUCUUUCAUUUGGGGUUUGUCUCAUGUUUUCUCAUGAUUAGAUUGAGCUUUUGCGUCUUUGGCUGGAAUAUCUCAGAAAUGAUGCUGGUUCAUCUCAAUGCAUCAUUUCAGCUGGCACAUGAUUCCUGUAGAUAUUAAUUUUACCAUUUGGCUAACAUUGUGUCUUCCAGGCUUCUCCAUUGUGAAGUUAACAAAUAUGUUUUAAGUUCUUAUAUGGAUUUUCUGGGAGUACACUCUGAAAUUAUGUAAAUAUCCUGUUUCUCAUGAAAAUUUUAGCCACUAGUUUUAGCUUCCAUUGAAUGCCUACUGUCUUUAUAAAUAAACUUACUGGAACACAACCAGGCUUAUUCUUUUAUGUAAUUUGUGUUGCUGCUUCUUUGCUAAAAAAAAGAUUUGAGUAUUUGUGACAGAGACCAAAUAUUGCCACAAAUCCUAAAUUACAUACUAUAUGACUUUUUUACAGAAAAGCAUAUUGACUCUUGCUCUUCUAAGCCUGG